GAAAGAUUAUCCUGGAAGGUCCAGUCCUUAAAAGGCAGGCCGAGGAGAUUUGACUACAGAAGUAGGAGGUAUGAUGACAGAAGUAAGAGAUUAGAGUGUUGGGGAUGCAAGCCCAGGAAUGAUAAGUAAUACUAAGGAAUCCUGGCAGCCUCUAGAAGCUAGAAGAAGCAAAGAAUAGAUUCUCUCCUGGAGCCUCCAGAAGGAACCAACUGCGCAGAAAUAAAUGAGAUUUCAAAAGUAUUCAUCGGGGGAUAGUGGAACAACGAUUGGAGAAGUGAUGGGGUGUUUUUCUAGAAAGGAGUCUGUAACUUGGGAGAAUCACAGAAUAUCCAGGCUGGAAGAGGCUUUAAAGUACCUGGCAUGCAAUGCGUAAUGUGGUAUGCAGAAAUGAUGAAAAAGUCAACUGGGAUUACAGAAUCCAGCAUUCUACAUUUUUUAAUGUUCCAUUUUCAACUCAAAGGGCUUUGAUAUGAAUACUGAUGAAAUCAAAUGAGAUCAUAUAUAUUGUUGAAUGCAUUACUGCAAACACCAUGUUCUAGUGAUGGGAAAAGAAGACAUAGCAAAUAAACCAAACCCAGAAUUUUAAAUUUCAGCAUGAAUUUAGGAACAGUCUUCAGAUUCAACUUUUAGUAUGUGAACUGUAGUGAAAUAUGUAAACAAAAAAAGAGCUUGCUUUGUGUUCACAUAAAUGCAUAUGUUAGUAGGAAUCAUGCACCAUGUAACAUUAAAAGACAUGAUAUAAUAUGUAAUAUAAAAGACUCUGUAGUAUAAAUGAGUCUAAGGAAAUACACUACGCAUACUGGGGUUUAGCUAGAAUUACUAUGACAACCAUAACUUUUGCAUUUCCUAAUUUUUUUUCAGUUUGAAAAAAUGUCACAUUAAAUGUCACAUUACCAUAGGUUUUGGCUUUCUCUUUUCUAUGUAGUUCAAAAAGAAAAGUCACACACCAGUGCUCCUGUUAAAUCCUCAUUUAAUUAAGUGUACCUCUUGAACACAUCAAACUUGUUCAGGGAUCAAACGUCUGGGUGGGUACCAUCGCAGUUAAGAAAAAAAAGAGAGAAAAGAAAGACUACAGUAAAGUCUUAGAAUAGAAUUUGCAAAAGAUUUAUGGCACGUAGAAUUUUCAGUCAAUGUACCAAAUUAUCCUACUACAAAUUUCUUUCUUCCAAGUUAUUCACUGAUAGAAGAAUGACAUAAGAAAAAGGGGACAUCAUUUGACCCUUAGGACAUGAAACCUAUCUGUAUAAGAAACCCACAGAAAUUUUAUUUCUAGAUUAUUCAGAAAACAUAAAUAGAGGAGAAUCUGUUUAUAAUGUUGUUGCUUGGCUUAACCGUAUCCUACAUUAGCUUUACGGAGUGAUUAUUUUUCCAAGUGUUUUUAUUGGAAUCUAUAGAAUUUAGCUCUCUUUUCUUGGGGCUCAACUGUGUCACAUAAAAGUCUGCAAACUACAUUUGCUUGUCCCUUUUAUCUCUUUAUCAGGGCCCAUCACCAUUUCUGGUUCUUCCAUGUGCCAUUUUGAAAAUUAACAAAUACUAAUUUAGUACAUAGGAGACAUUUAGUAGAGCCUUUAGAUGAAGUCUCUGAUCAUAGGGGUCAAAUAAUCUUACAGGGGAAUUAAAUCAGUAUGUACAUUCACAUUCACUCAUUUAUUCAUUAAUUUAACAAAUAGCUAUUAGGAACCCACCCUAUGCCAGGUACCAGACACACACACACACACACACACAUGACAAGCUGGAGAUACUAUAUGUGUAUCUAGACUCUGUUCAAAUGUGGAGGAGCUGGGAAAGCUAAGGUCUGGAAAGGGCCACUUGGGAUAUUAGAGAUUAAGUCACUUACCAGCUCACUAGAGACUGGCAAGUCUGGAGAAGUUGGAGCUUGUAGGGAAAUCCUAGAAGCUGAGCACAUUCUGUUGCUGAAGAGAGACUGAGAAGGAGGGGCACUGGUGCCUCUUCAUUGAGCGUCUGGGGUUGGUCUGGUCUGCUGUUGAUCCGCAUGGCCACGAUGGACAGGAAACAACCGGAUGUGGAGCAGAGGAGAGUUGGGUCAAGCUGAGACCUGCUGGGCUUCUCUGCAUUCUUCCAUAACAGUGUCUGAUUGUAAAGAAGACUUUCCAAAAAUAAUGACCACUGCUUCAUUUCGUCUCCCCAGUCUAAUGCAAGUUUCUCCUUUGGCCAACUCUAGCCAGCUACCAAGAGGGAAUGAGAUCCUAGCUCCUCACCUAACCAAGGUGACUAUGGCACAGUCCGGCACAACAAUGGUCAUUACAGAAACAGUUGCUGCCCCUGGGAUGCUUAAGGACGUACAGCACAUAUAAUGAAGCUACAAAAGGAAGAGGCGAAGAAGGGAACCCAAGUGACAAGAUAGAGCUGUGUAGGAUUAUGGGCGAAAGAUUGUUGGAGAGACUCAUGGAUCUGUAGUUGAGGAAAAGGGAAGAAGAGGAGAUGAAGGAUAUAAUAAUUCGUGUAAAAUAUAUGUUCCAGCCCCCUCCCUUGUGACCUUUGGAUGCUUCACAGUCCAGCUCUGAACCUGCUUUCAAAUGGAGAAAGUCUGCCAUACUCUCUGGAACAGAGAGAGAGAGACAGAGAAAGAGAGAAAGAAAGAAAGAAAACCAGUUCCAGCUCUCCCUCCCUGUGUGGUCCAGGCCGCAAACACCUGGUUCAGAAGAGAAAUGCAAUCACAGUGGAACAGUGGGCUGGGAUACCAAACAAAAGCUUGAAAUGUGAAAAAGGAAAAAAAAUCUAUCUUGUCAGCACAUCAGCAAAAUUGGAUAAAAGUUGCCGUAUAGUGACAGGUAGAAAACUUGGAGUGUAAAUGAAAGACAAAACAUCAGCUCCAGUGACGGGAGAAGUAGACUAAUCUUUGUGAACACCUACUUCGCGUCUGCAUGUUAUCUACGCUGUCCUUCCAAAUUCUACCAACAAGACGCUAUUAUUCCUGUUUUCUAGACAACAACACUGAUACUUAUGGAGGCGAAAUUCUUGCUUGAAAUGACUGCAGUUAACGAUGGCAGAUUCCACUUUUGAAACCUUGUCUAUCUGACUCCCACUCUACGUUCUUUCCACUAUGAUGUAUUGCCUCCAUGGGAACUAAUAGUCAUUCUGGUCUUAUGGCCUUCAACUGGCUGGAUGAGGUCCACCCACACUGGGGAGGACGAUCUCCUUUAUUCAGUCUACGGAUUCAAAUGUUAAUCUCAUCCAGAACCACCCUCAUAGACACGCCCAAAAUAAAGUUUGACCAAAUAUCUGGGCACCCUGUGGCCCAGUCAAGUUGACACAUAAAAUUAACCAUCACAGGUGGUAUCUCCUGGUUUUUCG
Molecule: long non-coding RNA, 3315 nt
Filed under: Equus caballus (horse)
Lineage: Eukaryota; Metazoa; Chordata; Mammalia; Perissodactyla; Equidae
Description: lncRNA (ENSECAG00000031657.3)
Source: RNAcentral